Molecule: long non-coding RNA, 1058 nt
Organism: Oncorhynchus keta (chum salmon)
Lineage: Eukaryota; Metazoa; Chordata; Actinopteri; Salmoniformes; Salmonidae
Exons: 5
Source: RefSeq, a predicted model, not a curated record
AGAUAAAGGUUUGUUGUUUCAGGUCUGUAGAUAAAGGUCUGUAGUAAUAGAUAAAGGUUUGGUGUUUCAGGUCUGUAGAUAAAGGUCUGUAGUAAUUGGUAAAGGUUUGUUGUUUCAGGUCUGUAGAUAAAGGUCUGUAGUAAUAGAUAAAGGUUUGUUGUUUCAGGUCUGUAGAUAAAGGUCUGUAGUAAUAGAUAAAGGUUUGUUGUUUCAGGUCUGUAGAUAAAGGUCUGUAGUAAUAGAUAAAGGUUUGGUGUUUCAGGUCUGUAGAUAAAGGUCUGUAGUAAUUGGUAAAGGUUUGUUGUUUCAGGUCUGUAGAUAAAGGUCUGUAGUAAUAGAUAAAGGUUUGUUGUUUCAGGUCUGUAGAUAAAGGUCUGUAGUAAUAGAUAAAGGUUUGUUGUUUCAGGUCUGUAGAUAAAGGUCUGUAGUAAUUGGUAAAGGUUUGUUGUUUCAGGUCUGUAGAUAAAGGUCUGUAGUAAUAGGUAAAGUUUUGUAGUUUCAGGUCUGUAGAUAAAGGUCUGUAGUAAUAGGUAAAGGUUUGUUGUUUCAGGUCUGUAGUUGAAGGUCUGUAGUAAUAGGUAAAGGUUUGUUGUUUCAGGUCUGUAGAUAAAGGUCUGUAGUAAUAGAUAAAGGUUUGUUGUUUCAGGUCUGUAGAUAAAGGUCUGUAGUAAUAGGUAAAGGUUUGUUGUUUCAGGUCUGUAGAUAAAGGUCUGUAGUAAUAGAUAAAGGUUUGUUGUUUCAGGUCUGUAGAUAAAGGUCUGUAGUAAUAGGUAAAGGUUUGUUGUUUCAGGUCUGUAGAUAAAGGUCUGUAGUAAUAGAUAAAGGUUUGUUGUUUCAGGUCUGUAGAUAAAGGUCUGUAGUAAUAGGUAAAGGUUUGUUGUUUCAGGUCUGUAGAUAAAGGUCUGUAGUAAUAGAUAAAGGUUUGUUGUUUCAGGUCUGUAGAUAAAGGUCUGUAGUAAUAGAUAAAGGUUUGUUGUUUCAGGUCUGUAGAUAAAGGUCUGUAGUAAUAGGUAAAGGUUUGUAGUUUUUAGAACAGUAGGUCUGUAGGGUUAAAGAUC